RNAcentral lists this unclassified non-coding RNA (224 nucleotides) under Hevea brasiliensis (rubber tree). The record is from RNAcentral. Lineage: Eukaryota; Viridiplantae; Streptophyta; Magnoliopsida; Malpighiales; Euphorbiaceae.
GUGAAAUCAACCCCAAAGCAAACAACAUAAAUCCACAAAUACAUGUCCAUGAGAUCGGCCUCCGCGACUGCGGCGGCGGCGGCGACGCCCCAUACGACGGCGACUGGAAACAAGAAAACACAAAAUGCUGCUUGUGCUGAUGAUGCACCGCCGCAGCCAGAUUAGAAAACAACCCACCACUAUAUUUCCACAGUUUGGCCAAACCCAUUUGUAAAGCCACUAGC